Molecule: ribosomal RNA, 611 nt
Filed under: uncultured bacterium
Lineage: Bacteria
Description: bacterial SSU rRNA
Rfam family: Bacterial small subunit ribosomal RNA
Source: RNAcentral
CCUACGGGAGGCAGCAGUGGGGAAUUUUGGACAAUGGGCGAAAGCCUGAUCCAGCAAUGCCGCGUGAGUGAAGAAGGCCUUCGGGUUGUAAAGCUCUUUUGUCAGGGAAGAAACGGUGUGGGCUAAUAUCCUGCACUAAUGACGGUACCUGAAGAAUAAGCACCGGCUAACUACGUGCCAGCAGCCGCGGUAAUACGUAGGGUGCAAGCGUUAAUCGGAAUUACUGGGCGUAAAGCGUGCGCAGGCGGUUUUGUAAGUCUGUCGUGAAAUCCCCGGGCUCAACCUGGGAAUUGCGAUGGAGACUGCAAGGCUAGAAUCUGGCAGAGGGGGGUAGAAUUCCACGUGUAGCAGUGAAAUGCGUAGAGAUGUGGAGGAACACCGAUGGCGAAGGCAGCCCCCUGGGUCAAGAUUGACGCUCAUGCACGAAAGCGUGGGGAGCAAACAGGAUUAGAUACCCUGGUAGUCCACGCCCUAAACGAUGUCUACUAGUUGUCGGGUUUUAAUUAACUUGGUAACGCAGCUAACGCGUGAGUAGACCGCCUGGGGAGUCGGUCGCAAGNUUAAACGUUAAGGAAUUGACGGNNGNGNGNGCGAGACGACGACGAGGAGAG